Molecule: long non-coding RNA, 562 nt
Organism: Balaenoptera musculus (blue whale)
Lineage: Eukaryota; Metazoa; Chordata; Mammalia; Artiodactyla; Balaenopteridae
Exons: 3
Source: RefSeq, a predicted model, not a curated record
CACAAAGCGAGGCUGGAGCCCUUUCCGGCCUUCGCCUGCCCGCCCAGCCCCGGAAAUGGCGUCACCCUCAAGCCGGAGCCUCUGGCUUUCGUGAGGAUUCAACCAGUCGCAGAUACAUUCCGACCUCCUGUUAGGUGCCAGGCACUGGACUAAGCAAACAGGUUGAGAAUCAAUACUUACCCACAACACACCCCUCCUGGGGCCAGAUGAAGUCAUCCCCGUGCCUCCUCAUCGCUGUAAUUCCACAAUUCAUUCGUGUUCCCCGCCUUCUCUCGUGAGCGACCAAAUCACAGCUCUGACUCAGCAAGAGAGUUCUAGUCCGUGAUUCUCGAACACACAAGUUGACAGGUAUAUAACAACAUUGAAGAGGUGAAGAACAUUUUGCUGUGUGUAUUCACAAACUCAGGAGAGUGUUGUGCACUAAUCAAUAUCGUGAAGCAGGAGCAUGAAGCAGAAAGUAGCUUCCACAAGCAAUUCUUUGCAUUGUUGCAAAAAUCUUGGUCUCCUGUGCACCGAUGCCAAAUAAAAAUACAGAGACAGAGAUUUGUAAGAUAAGAAAUAG